RNAcentral lists this ribosomal RNA (650 nucleotides) under Salmonella enterica. RNAcentral's name for it is "bacterial LSU rRNA". It matches the Rfam family "Bacterial large subunit ribosomal RNA", at positions 117 to 709 of the family's 2925-position model. Lineage: Bacteria; Pseudomonadati; Pseudomonadota; Gammaproteobacteria; Enterobacterales; Enterobacteriaceae. The record is from RNAcentral. RNAcentral also lists the same sequence under 1 other name.
AAUGGGGAAACCCAGUGUGACUCGUCACACUAUCAUUAACUGAAUCCAUAGGUUAAUGAGGCGAACCGGGGGAACUGAAACAUCUAAGUACCCCGAGGAAAAGAAAUCAACCGAGAUUCCCCCAGUAGCGGCGAGCGAACGGGGAGGAGCCCAGAGCCUGAAUCAGCAUGUGUGUUAGUGGAAGCGUCUGGAAAGGCGCGCGAUACAGGGUGACAGCCCCGUACACAAAAGCGUAUGUGCUGUGAGCUCGAUGAGUAGGGCGGGACACGUGGUAUCCUGUCUGAAUAUGGGGGGACCAUCCUCCAAGGCUAAAUACUCCUGACUGACCGAUAGUGAACCAGUACCGUGAGGGAAAGGCGAAAAGAACCCCGGCGAGGGGAGUGAAAAAGAACCUGAAACCGUGUACGUACAAGCAGUGGGAGCCCCACCACUAAGCCAGUGGUGAACUCCACAUACGCAUCCUUUGCUGAGGAUACGGUUAACGGAGCGAAAGCGACGUUCAACCGCAAAAGAAGCAGAGGGGGCUUAGUGGUGGGGUGACUGCGUACCUUUUGUAUAAUGGGUCAGCGACUUAUAUUCUGUAGCAAGGUUAACCGAAUAGGGGAGCCGGAGGGAAACCGAGUCUUAACCGGGCGUUAAGUUGCAGGGUA